GAUGAACGCUGGCGGCGUGCCUAAUACAUGCAAGUCGAGCGAACGGACGAGAAGCUUGCUUCUCUGAUGUUAGCGGCGGACGGGUGAGUAACACGUGGAUAACCUACCUAUAAGACUGGGAUAACUUCGGGAAACCGGAGCUAAUACCGGAUGAUAUUUUGAACCGCAUGGUUCAAAAGUGAAAGACGGUCUUGCUGUCACUUAUAGAUGGAUCCGCGCUGCAUUAGCUAGUUGGUAAGGUAACGGCUUACCAAGGCAACGAUGCAUAGCCGACCUGAGAGGGUGAUCGGCCACACUGGAGCUGAGACACGGUCCAGACUCCUACGGGAGGCAGCAGUAGGGAAUCUUCCGCAAUGGGCGAAAGCCUGACGGAGCAACGCCGCGUGAGUGAUGAAGGUCUUCGGAUCGUAAAACUCUGUUAUUAGGGAAGAACAUAUGUGUAAGUAACUGUGCACAUCUUGACGGUACCUAAGCAGAAAGCCACGGCUAACUACGU
Molecule: ribosomal RNA, 496 nt
Filed under: uncultured bacterium
Lineage: Bacteria
Description: partial 16S ribosomal RNA
Rfam family: Bacterial small subunit ribosomal RNA
Source: RNAcentral